This 72-nucleotide transfer RNA is filed under the name Camelus bactrianus (Bactrian camel). It matches the Rfam family "tRNA". Rfam says of the family: Transfer RNA (tRNA) molecules are approximately 80 nucleotides in length. RNAcentral also lists the same sequence under 2 other names. Lineage: Eukaryota; Metazoa; Chordata; Mammalia; Artiodactyla; Camelidae. The record is from Rfam by way of RNAcentral.
GAGGGUAGAGCUCAGUGGCAGAGUGCAUGCUUAGCAUGCAUGAGGUCCUGGGUUCAAUCCUCAGUGCCUCCA